GACGAACGCUGGCGGCGUGCUUAACACAUGCAAGUCGAACGGAAAGGCCCGGCGUUUGUGGGGUGCUCGAUUGGCGAACGGGGGAGUAACACGCGAGUAACCUGCCCUUGUCUUUGGGAUAACAUCACGAAACUGGGGCUAAUACCGCAUAGGAGCUCCUGCUGCACGGUGGGGGUUGGAAAGUGUCGGCGGUAGUGGAUGGGCUCGCGGCUUAUCCGCUGCUUGGGGGGGUUGUGGCUUACCAAGGCUUUGACGGGUAGGCGGCCUGAGAGGUUGACCAGCCACCAUGGGCCUGCGAUAGGCACCAGUAUCCUACGGGCGGCAGCAGUGGGGAGUCUUGCACAGUGGGCGCAAGCCUGAUGCAGCAGCCUCGCGUGCGGGAUGACGGCCUUCGGGUUGUAAACAGCUUUCGCCUGUGCCGAAGAGUGAGUGACGGUACUGGGUAAAGAAGCACCGGCUAACUACGUG
RNAcentral lists this ribosomal RNA (468 nucleotides) under uncultured bacterium. Its description in RNAcentral is "partial 16S ribosomal RNA". It matches the Rfam family "Bacterial small subunit ribosomal RNA", at positions 28 to 507 of the family's 1533-position model. The record is from RNAcentral.